This 514-nucleotide long non-coding RNA is filed under the name Homo sapiens (human). RNAcentral's name for it is "non-protein coding lnc-ULK4-9:1". Lineage: Eukaryota; Metazoa; Chordata; Mammalia; Primates; Hominidae. The record is from RNAcentral.
CAGUUCACUCAGGUCGUGGGCCAUCGAAUAGCCACUCAGCUGCUCAAGCUGGUCCAUAUGGAGAAAGGACAGCCAAAGCAAGAAAAUAAGCUGCAGAUGUUGGCCCAGGAUUUAGAGAAAGCUGCAGAUAAAGGGGAAGUCCCUGCUAAGAGCAUCUGACCUUCCAACAGGGUUAAUACCAUCCCCACCUUGGUGGAAAAUGAGAAGGCAUGGAUCCACUGGGUUGGCUGUCUUCCUCCCUCUCUUGGGCAUAGAAUGGAGGCUCCCUACUGAAUUAUCAAAGGAAACGCCAUAGAAAAAUCUGCACCACCCUCACCUUCACUGGUUAAUUCAGACAACUAAGAGCUCUCUCUGGCUAGAAUGGUGAAAGCUAUCAGGAUCUACAACAAUGACAGAUAUGAUGAGAUCUGCACUGCUGGGGAGGCAAUGCCCUGGGCCACAAACCCAAGGCUUGCACAGCCAAGCCCACCUGGAAAAGACAAAGGCCAAACAAGUUGCCAUGAAACUGGAUUAA